This is a long non-coding RNA of Rhinopithecus bieti (black snub-nosed monkey), 1679 nucleotides long. Lineage: Eukaryota; Metazoa; Chordata; Mammalia; Primates; Cercopithecidae. The record is from Ensembl.
CGCGCCCUUAUCCUCCAGCCUGGGCCACAGAGCAAGGCUCUGUCGCAAAAAAAAAAAAAAAAAAAAAAAAAAGAGAGAGAAAGAAAGAAAUAAACCAAAAACCACAAACCUGCCCUCUCGAGUGCCCAGGCCAGACACGGACACUGAUUGCUGAACAAACAGCCCACGCUGGGGGUCACAUAUUCCCCUUCCCCGCACCUGGGGGUUUCCGCCGCGCUUCCGGGUGUUGAAUGCCGUUUCUGUUUCCCCACAGACCCGCAGUACUCAUGGUCGCCCACGCAGCACUUCAAUGAGGAGCGCUACUCGCCCGCGCCCAGGAGCAUGAAGGGCCUCUCCGGAAGUCGGACCCAGCAGCCGCUGUGUUCCGGGCACACGUGCGGUCUGGCGCCCCCCGAGGACUGCGAGCACCUGCACCACGGGCCCGACGUGCGGCCGCCCUACCUGCUGAGCCCCGCAGACAGCUGCCCCGGGGGGCGCCACCGCUGCUCGCCGCGCAGCUCGGUGCACUCGGAGUGCGUGAUGAUGCCCGUGGUGCUGGGCGACCACGUGUCCAGCAGCACCUUCCCGCGGAUGCACUACAGCUCGCACUACGACACGCGCGACGACUGCGCCGUGGCCCACGCGGGCGCCAAGAUCAACCGCAUCCCGGCCAACCUGCUGGACCAGUUCGAGAAGCAGCUACCGCUGCACCGGGACGGCUUCCACACUCUGCAGUACCAGAGGACGUCCGCGGCCGCCGAGCAGCGCAGCGAGAGCCCCGGGCGGAUCCGCCACUUGGUACACUCCGUGCAGAAGCUCUUCACCAAGUCGCACUCGCUGGAGGGCUCCUCCAAGAGCAAUGCCAACGGCACCAAGGCGGACGGCCGGGCGGACGACCAUCACCACGCCCACCACGCCAAGCACAGCAAGAGGAGCAAGAGCAAGGAGCGCAAGCCCGAGGGCAAACCCCGGCCCGGCAUGAGCAGCUGGUGGAGCUCGGACGACAACCUGGACAGCGACAGCACCUACCGGACGCCCAGCGUGCUCAACCGGCACCACCUGGGCCCGGUGGCCCACUGCUACCCCGAUGCGCUGCAGAGCCCGUUCGGGGACCUGUCCCUCAAGACCUCCAAAAGCAACAACGACGUCAAAUGCUCAGCCUGCGAGGGUUUGGCGCUGACGCCCGACGCCAAGUACCUGAAGCGCAGCUCCUGGUCCACGCUGACGGUCAGCCAGGCCAAGGAGGCCUACCGCAAGAGCUCGCUGAACCUGGACAAGCCGCUGCUGCACCAGGACACCAAGCCCGCCCUGAGGCCAUGCCACUACCUCCAGGUGCCUCAGGACGAGUGGGGAGGGUACCCCACCGGUGGCAAAGAUGAAGAGAUUCCCUGCAGGAGAAUGAGAAGCGGGAGUUACAUUAAAGCCAUGGGGGACGAGGAGAGCGGAGAGUCAGACUCCAGCCCCAAGACAUCACCAAAGUCGGCGAUCCGACCGGAGCCGCUGCUGAAGUCCAUUGGACAGAGACCGCUUGGAGAGCACCAGACACAGAUAAAACUCUUUGGGAAAUCAGCAGUUCCUACGAACCAUGAAAAUAUGACUGUUACUCUUAACAGCCAGCUGCUGUGAAUCCUGAGUCCUACAGGUUAGUUCAGGUGGUAAUGCCAAGAACUGCCUGGAAGCCCCUCCACGCCCCCUCCCGC